Molecule: small RNA, 179 nt
Filed under: Chrysemys picta bellii (western painted turtle)
Lineage: Eukaryota; Metazoa; Chordata; Testudines; Emydidae
Description: TUC338 (ENSCPBG00000000781.1)
Source: RNAcentral
UUCAUACCCCUAUGAAAUGAAGUCCUCCAUUUACCUACUGAGCAGGUUCAGCACAGGCAACAGGAAAUGUUUCUCCAACACACAUGAUCUGCCAAUGUGCCUGAGUCCAGCCUUGGAGGGAACAGUGCUAGGGGUCAGACAGGAGUUCAGCCUCCAUGGCCUUCUCAGUCAUUGCUCCU